UGUCAACGCAACACCACUAUUUUUAUUCGUAAACGCAAUGAAAACAAAAAAUUUACGCCGAGCAAUUUUGGAAAAGACAAUUUACGAGAAAAUGACUCGUUCAACCUUCAGGCCUUCCUAACGUAUAUAGACGGUAAAUUGGAAGAUCCUGGCUUAACCGAAGGUGCCAAUGAGGACAUAUUCAUUGCCAUUAACGGUUCACCGGCUCAAAUGUCUGAUUCUGAUUCCGGCAACAGUUCUUCGAGAGACGACACGCGGAUAAUUUCGGACGAAGGACGGAGGAUGCUGAAGGAAAUGGUCAAGGGAUAUGUGGCACACAAGGUUGCCCGGAUGGCUAUGGACGAACAACGAAUAUCUCUGUUACUUCUCCUUUCGCAACUCGGCGAACCGGCACGGAAGCUCUACCGCAUUCCGGGCAUCCUGCAGCCACCAGUCAAUAAUCCACCGCCGAAUUAAGAACAGCUUAGGACGAGAUUCGGGCGCACUUACAGUGCCGGGGUCAACAUAUACAUUACCUCAACUAAAUUUUCCUUGCUUCCUAAUCGCUCAUCAAACAAGUUUCUCGUCUAUUGGGUCCUGGAUUGAACUAGGCCGGCAAGUUCUAUAAGCGAAGCAGACGGGCUGUAACAAUGACAGAAUUGAACUACGGAAUUGCACUACGGAAUUGUACUACGGAACUGGUACUACAUAAUUGGAAUACAGAAUUGGAACACAGGACCGAAAUUGGAAUGUGGAAUUAAAAAAUACGGAAUGGGAAGCGAAGAAUUUAAAGAAAGAACAUCUUUCGGUUAAGGAAAAGAAUACAUCUGGAAAUGCGUUCAACUUUUGCCGAAGGCAUCGGAAGUGUGAAGUGAGGACGAAGGCGUCGGAAGUGUUAAGUGAAGGCGUAGGCUGAUAAAAAGGAAAUGUGAAGAUUCGGAACGGAAAAGAAUAGGGGUAUGGCGAUCUCAUCAACGUUGUCGUGCUACGAGUUUGGUUAAAGAAUCCAGCUUGAAAGAAUAGACCACCUACGAACGGAUAAAAAUUAUAUUCGAAGCGAACGGAUGACAGUAUUCGUUGUUGCGGGGGUGUGAAGGACUUGAAUUAAGGGGGUGUGUUAGUUUUAGUGAAAUCUAGUUCACUAGUAGUAAUUCAAUUGAUUGACAGAUCAUAGUACACGACUUCACUGUGUUUAUUAGUCUCAAGGAAUAAAGACGUUUUUCUAUAA
Bradysia coprophila is the source of this 1207-nucleotide long non-coding RNA. RefSeq lists it as uncharacterized. The record is from RefSeq and is a predicted model, not a curated record. NCBI's taxonomy places the organism in Eukaryota, Metazoa, Arthropoda, Insecta, Diptera, Sciaridae.